GUGCCAGCAGCCGCGGUAAUACCGGCAGCCCGAGUGAUGGCCGAUCUUAUUGGGCCUAAAGCGUCCGUAGCUGGCUGCGCAAGUCCGUCGGGAAAUCCACUCGCCCAACGAGUGGGCGUCCGACGGAAACUGCACAGCUUGGGACCGGAAGGCUCGAGAGGUACGUCCGGGGUAGGAGUGAAAUCCCGUAAUCCCGAACGGACCACCGAUGGCGAAAGCACUUCGAGAAAACGGAUCCGACAGUGAGGGACGAAAGCCAGGGUCUCCAACCGGAUUAGAAACCCCAGUAGUCC
RNAcentral lists this ribosomal RNA (293 nucleotides) under uncultured bacterium. RNAcentral describes it as "partial 16S ribosomal RNA". It matches the Rfam family "Archaeal small subunit ribosomal RNA", at positions 455 to 747 of the family's 1478-position model. The record is from RNAcentral.